AUGAACGCUGGCGGCGUGCCUAAUCCCUGCAAGUCGAGCGAACAGACGAGGAGCUUGCUCCUCUGACGUUAGCGGCGGACGGGUGAGUAACACGUGGAUAACCUACCUAUAAGACUGGGAUAACUUCGGGAAACCGGAGCUAAUACCGGAUAAUAUAUUGAACCGCAUGAUUCAAUAGUGAAAGACGGUUUUGCUGUCACUUAUAGAUGGAUCCGCGCCGCAUUAGCUAGUUGGUAAGGUAACGGCUUACCAAGGCAACGAUGCGUAGCCGACCUGAGAGGGUGAUCGGCCACACUGGAACUGAGACACGGUCCAGACUCCUACGGGAGGCAGCAGUAGGGAAUCUUCCGCAAUGGGCGAAAGCCUGACGGAGCAACGCCGCGUGAGUGAUGAAGGUCUUCGGAUCGUAAAACUCUGUUAUUAGGGAAGAACAAAUGUGUAAGUAACUAUGCACGUCUUGACGGUACCUAAUCAGAAAGCCACGGCUAACUACGUG
This 496-nucleotide ribosomal RNA is filed under the name uncultured bacterium. RNAcentral describes it as "partial 16S ribosomal RNA". It matches the Rfam family "Bacterial small subunit ribosomal RNA", at positions 29 to 507 of the family's 1533-position model. The record is from RNAcentral.